GACAGAGGAUGCAAGCGUUAUCCGGAUUGAUUGGGCGUAAAGCGUCCGUAGGUGGUCUUUUAGGUCUUUUGUUAAAUACUAGAGCUCAACUUUAGUUCAGCAUAAGAAACUUAAGGACUUGAGUAUGGUAGAGGCAGCGGGAACUCCCGGUGUAGCGGUGAAAUGCGUAGAGCUCGGGAAGAACACCAGAAGCGAAGGCGCGCUGCUGGGUCAUUACUAACACUAAGGGACGAAAGCUAGGGGAGCAAAUGGG
RNAcentral lists this ribosomal RNA (253 nucleotides) under uncultured bacterium. Its description in RNAcentral is "partial 16S ribosomal RNA". It matches the Rfam family "Bacterial small subunit ribosomal RNA", at positions 524 to 776 of the family's 1533-position model. The record is from RNAcentral.